Molecule: long non-coding RNA, 602 nt
Organism: Mastomys coucha (southern multimammate mouse)
Lineage: Eukaryota; Metazoa; Chordata; Mammalia; Rodentia; Muridae
Exons: 2
Source: RefSeq, a predicted model, not a curated record
GCUUGGUCUUCUUCUAAGAUUGUUUGUUCAUUCCAUAAAAUGAAGAUAAUUGGGGGUCUGCUGACCAGGAAUGAGAGGGUUAAGUAAAGACACUACACUUCACUAGGCUUGCCUGGCGCCAUGGCAACACUUCCUGUACAUAUGUUCUUCAUAGCACUAUGUACUUUAGGAGCUCAGUCUGGGAAGUAAGGGCAAAGGGACAUGAAGCCAAGCCAGGAAGCACUCAGGAGCCCUUAACCACUCUUUAAGAUCAUCACUGAAGAACAGUAGCUGGCAAAAGACUGCACUGCAACUAGUGUUCAUUUGAAUGGCCAGAUGAUCUCCUUCACAGCUCAUCUCUAGAUGCGUCAUUGUCACUGGAAACUUCAGGAGACUCUGAGUUCGGAGCCAUCGAUGAGUCAUUAAAGUCUCAAGCAGAAGAACCUCACAGCAGAUGCGAUCUUCCUACCCUCGCAUCUUUUUAGCAUCCAGGGAUCAAGCACCAUUUGGAGACACCAAGCAGAUCUUGCCAGGCCUCUUCGCUUAUGCACAAAGCUGAUCACCCUUGCUGUUACAGGGAAGCCUAAUUAUCUGUGUAAUAAAUGAAUUUUACUUUCAAGGCA